GACGAACGCUGGCGGCGUGCUUAACACAUGCAAGUCGAACGGUAAGGCCCUUCGGGGUACACGAGUGGCGAACGGGUGAGUAACACGUGGGUGAUCUGCCCUGCACUUCGGGAUAAGCCUGGGAAACUGGGUCUAAUACCGGAUAGGACCACUGCCUGCAUGGGUGGUGGUGGAAAGCUUUUGCGGUGUGGGAUGAGUCCGCGUACGAUUAGCUAGUUGGUGGGGUAAUGGCCCACCAAGGCGACGAUCGUUAGCUGGUCUGAGAGGACGAUCAGCCACACUGGGACUGAGACACGGCCCAGACUCCUACGGGAGGCAGCAGUGGGGAAUAUUGGACAAUGGGGGCAACCCUGAUCCAGCCAUGCCGCGUGAGUGAUGAAGGCCUUCGGGUUGUAAAGCUCUUUUGGCGGGGACGAUGAUGACGGUACCCGCAGAAUAAGCCCCGGCUAACUUCGUGCCAGCCGCCGCAGUAA
Molecule: ribosomal RNA, 473 nt
Filed under: uncultured bacterium
Lineage: Bacteria
Description: partial 16S ribosomal RNA
Rfam family: Bacterial small subunit ribosomal RNA
Source: RNAcentral